UUAUUCACAUAAUUUACAUAUCUAUGCAUUACAUUAUUUUUUUCUUUCACUAUACCAUUUAGGGUUUAGUUGGAAUUGGCAUCCAGGGACCUCCGGGACAGGAUGGACCUCAAGGCUUAAAGGGAGAUCCUGGUUUACCUGGCCCACCAGGCCCACCUGGUUUGCCAGGUGCAGUUGGAACUCCUGGCCAGUCUGGUCUGAGAGGAGAAAAUGGAAUGACUGGCCAACCUGGACCUCCAGGAGAGAGGGGUUUGACUGGCUUCCCAGGGAGAGAUGGGACUGCAGGGUCACCAGGACCACCAGGACCUCCAGGGUCACCAGGUACUUCAGGCACUCCAGGAGUAAAGGGAGACAAGGGGGACACAGGUAUCGGACAACCAGGACCUAGAGGAGAACGAGGAGAUCCAGGAACUCGGGUAGGUAUUUCACACUGACUCUGGAACUAUCUUAACAUCAUUAUCCAGGUACAGUGACACUGUAGGGUGAGGG
This 489-nucleotide long non-coding RNA is filed under the name Laticauda laticaudata (blue-ringed sea krait). RNAcentral's name for it is "lncRNA (ENSLLTG00000000451.1)". The record is from RNAcentral. Lineage: Eukaryota; Metazoa; Chordata; Lepidosauria; Squamata; Elapidae.